RNAcentral lists this ribosomal RNA (680 nucleotides) under Bremia lactucae (lettuce downy mildew). RNAcentral describes it as "LSU rRNA". It matches the Rfam family "Eukaryotic large subunit ribosomal RNA", at positions 81 to 634 of the family's 3401-position model. Lineage: Eukaryota; Oomycota; Peronosporomycetes; Peronosporales; Peronosporaceae. The record is from RNAcentral.
UAGUAACGGCGAGUGAAGCGGGAUGAGCUCAAGCUUAAAAUCUCCGUGCAAAUUUUGCAUGGCGAAUUGUAGUCUAUAGAGGCGUGAUUAGCGUAGGCACUUGGGGCAAGUUCCUUGGAAGAGGACAGCAUCGAGGGUGAUACUCCCGUUUAUCUCCGAGUUGCUUAUGCGUACAAUCCGUUUUCUUUGAGUCGCGUUGUUUGAGAAUGCAGCGCAAAGUAGGUGGUAAAUUCCAUCUAAAGCUAAAUAUUGGUGCGAGACCGAUAGCAAACAAGUACCGUGAGGGAAAGAUGAAAAGAACUUUGAAAAGAGAGUUAAAGAGUACCUGAAACUGCUGAAAGGGAACCAAAUCGUUUCCAGUGUCUAUAAUCCGUGGUAUAUUUCAUUGGCGAAUGUGUGCGUGCGUGUGCUAUGGCAGCGGCUUUUUGCUGCGCCUUGUGCGUGUGUGCACUUUCUCGCUGAUGCCCUGUACCGUGGUGGGACGUCAAUGUCGGUUCGUAAAUUGCGGGAAAUAACUGCCGAGGAGGUAGGGCGAACGCUUGCGUUUGUCUGUUAUAUCUUGGCGGACGUAGUAGUCGCGGUUGGGACUGAGGUGCCUACAAUGUGCUUAUGAGUAGAAUUGAUUCUCCGUGUGCGCCGUGUGCGGAUAGCUUGCUAUGCGUGUGUGGCUGCGUGUGGAU